RNAcentral lists this ribosomal RNA (493 nucleotides) under uncultured bacterium. RNAcentral's name for it is "partial 16S rRNA". The record is from RNAcentral.
UACUUCCCAGGCGGAGUACUUAAUGCGUUAGCUGCGGCACCGAGGGGGGUAACCCCCGACACCUAGUACUCAUCGUUUACGGCGUGGACUACCAGGGUAUCUAAUCCUGUUCGCUCCCCACGCUUUCGUGCCUCAGCGUCAGUUACAGUCCAGAAAGCCGCCUUCGCAACUGGUGUUCCUCCCAAUAUCUACGCAUUUCACCGCUACACUGGGAAUUCCACUUUCCUCUCCUGCACUCAAGUCCUACAGUUUCAAAGGCUUACUACGGUUGAGCCGUAGCCUUCCACCUCUGACUUGCAAGACCGCCUACGCACCCUUUACGCCCAGUAAUUCCGGAUAACGCUAGCCCCCUACGUAUUACCGCGGCUGCUGGCACGUAGUUAGCCGGGGCUUCCUCCUCAAGUACCGUCAAUAUUCUUCCUUGAGGACAGAGCUUUACGAUCCGAAGACCUUCAUCGCUCACGCGGCGUUGCUGCAUCAGGCUUUCGCCCAU